RNAcentral lists this long non-coding RNA (1319 nucleotides) under Haliotis rubra (blacklip abalone). Its description in RNAcentral is "uncharacterized LOC124287472, transcript variant X1". The record is from RNAcentral. Lineage: Eukaryota; Metazoa; Mollusca; Gastropoda; Lepetellida; Haliotidae.
UAUAAACAACGAGACCUCUCCACCACAACCCACUCAGCAGCCACUGGAACACCAACAGCAGCAACAACAACAUCACCAACAGAAGGGGCAAGACAAUUGGCAGCAACAAAGACCACAUCAACAGCAAGGUCAAAGGAAACAGCAUCAAGGUCAAGGUCAUGCGAACCACCGACCUCAUGACUCUGGACCUAAUUUAGACACAGGUGAAUACAAGCUGAAGCACAUGAUAGACUUUGUGAGGAACCUGCCGUGCAAUAAUGUCAAGCCUUUGUCCACGGGGGCAGACAUCUUGGAAGAGGCGUGGUCAAGGCAAUAGAAGAGGAGGUGGACAGAGUUAAUGAGGAAAACAGGAGGAAACAGAAGAAAGUCAAGAUGCAAGUGAAACCUCAUUUGUUGUUCAGACCCCUCAUCAACCAAGACCAGACUGCCACCUACUGGCUGUACGACCGUGUGGUAGCUGUGAAGCUGGGAUACCCCGUCCCCCUUGGAUUGCGGGGACGGUUGUCGGCAUCCACCCUGAUGAGAAGGAGAGCGACAUGCUGUAUGAUGUGGUGUUUGAUGCUGAACUUAUCGGAGGAAUCAAUGUCAGAAGAAUGGUGGGUUUACCAGCAACAAUCCCCAAUUUGUUACACCAAAAGUCACACAAACACAGUUUUCUAAACGAACACCAAACAGAACUCAACAGACAGGAGGAAAGACACAACCUUCCCAAGAUGCAACCAGCAACUCAGAGUUUGCCAACAUGUGGAAGGAGCUGCAGGCCGGCACAGUACAGACAGCGCCAUCAAGUGGCAACCUCCUCCAAGAACCAUCACUCCAAUAGGCAGCACUUGCAUUGGGGCAGAUAACUCCUCCUACAACACGGCACCAGAAGAAACCAGAACUGAGUGGACGUGGUGACAGCGUUAAUGAAUCAGGAGUGGUAGCAGUAAGAAGAUCGAUCUUCAGACUCUGUUUGAUCGUGCUAGCUUGCAGAAGGAAGCCGCGGAGAAAGAUGAGUUCAUUGCCAUGAUGGACUCUCUGAAGUUGUCCUGGAAGACCCAGAAGGAGGAAGAGGUCGUAGGAGGAAUCAAUAGUAAUAAUAAUGCCACGGAACAGGAUGGUAGCUCUGCACUGAAACACAUGCUGAAGAUCGGAUCGGACACUGGUACAACGCCAGUGGGAGGUAGUGCGCCCAGUACUUCAUCACCAACAAAAGCAUAUGGGAAACAGUUAUCAGUGCAGGAACUGUUUGAUGGUGCUAAUUAUAAACAACAGGAGACCUCUCCACCACAACCCAAACAGCAGCAACAGGAACACCAACAGCAGCAACAACACCA